CCUACGGGAGGCAGCAGUGGGGAAUAUUGCGCAAUGGGCGAAAGCCUGACGCAGCGAUGCCACGUGAGGGAAGAAGGUCUUCGGAUCGUAAACCUCUGUCAGUAGGGAAGAACGGUCACUGUGCUAUUCAGCAGUGAAUUGACGGUACCUGCAAAGGAAGCACCGGCUAACUCCGUGCCAGCAGCCGCGGUAAUACGGGGGGUGCGAACGUUAAUCGGAAUUACUGGGCGUAAAGCGCGCGUAGGCGGUAUGUUAAGUCAGGGGUGAAAUCCCCGGGCUCAACGUGGGAACUGACUUUGAGACUGGCGAACUAGAGUGUGUGAGAGGAUAGUAGAAUUCCAGGUGUAGGAGUGAAAUCCGUAGAGAUCUGGAGGAACAUCAGUGGCGAAGGCGACUAUCUGGCACAUAACUGACGCUGAGGAGCGAAAGCGUGGGGAGCAAACAGGAUUAGAUACCCCUGUAGUC
RNAcentral lists this ribosomal RNA (465 nucleotides) under uncultured bacterium. RNAcentral's name for it is "partial 16S ribosomal RNA". It matches the Rfam family "Bacterial small subunit ribosomal RNA", at positions 338 to 795 of the family's 1533-position model. The record is from RNAcentral.